RNAcentral lists this ribosomal RNA (292 nucleotides) under Pagurus longicarpus (long-clawed hermit crab). RNAcentral describes it as "partial 28S ribosomal RNA". It matches the Rfam family "Eukaryotic large subunit ribosomal RNA", at positions 52 to 311 of the family's 3401-position model. The record is from RNAcentral. Lineage: Eukaryota; Metazoa; Arthropoda; Malacostraca; Decapoda; Paguridae.
GGAGGAAAAGAAACUAACAGGGAUUCCCUGAGUAAGGGCGACUGAAAUGGGAAGAGCCCAGCGCAUAAGCUCGCUUUGCCCUUAACCGGGCGCGAGCGGUGUUGCGUUUCGGAGGGUCCGGCACGCCGCCUUACGACGCCUAAGUCAUGCUUGAAAGCGGCCACUACCCAUGGAGGGUGAAAGGCCCGUCUGGCGGAGCCCGUGAGGGCAUAAGUGAGGCGGUCGGAAAGGACCUUUCCGUAGAGUCGGGUUGCUUGAGAGUGCAGCCCAAAGCAGGUGGUAAACUCCUUCU